AAAAAGGUUUGAAAUUUUCAUUUUUGAGUAGAGCUCAUUAAGACCUUCAAUUUGAUAUACAUAAUGACCGCAUUUGGCAAAGUGCCAAAAAUUAUGCAAUAUCAAUUAUAUAAAUAGAACUUAUGAAACUUACAAAGUCAAUGUAAAAGAUGAAAAUUUCAAAUUGAUUUUUUUUUUAGUUUUUCAUUUAAAGUUUCUGGUAAUUAGUCAAACAUAUUACCAUGUUUAAGUCUUCAAUUUCUGAAAAUUUCAGGUGGAAAGCUGUUGUUGAUUCAGAAAUACAUGCCUCCACUCUCAAAAUUUCAAACUGCAUUAUCUCUAAAACGACAAUAGAUAUUUCAAAUCUGUUAAAUGAUAAAUGAUCUGCAGUUGAAGAACAACAUUGUAGACAAAAAUUUGGGACAAUUCCAAAGUUCAUCAAGGUCACAAUGAAUCAUCAAAUAUAUGAUGCAAUACCAAACUUGAGAACCGGAAGUCUUAGAGACAUGGGACUACCACCAUUCAACUCAGGACCACUUGACCUUUCAAAUGUCACAAGGUCAAGGUCAUAGUACACUUUGAAGGUCAAGGUAAAAUUUCAUCAUGACCUGACAUUGACCUCAAACUGAAGGUCUUAAAAUACUCAUCAUUUUUGCAGUUUAUAGUAGGUUGAUAUCUGUUGCCUUUUAAAAGAUAUGCACACAAAACUAUACUUUAAAGAAUUAUCUCGUCGUAACUUUUGAACAGACGGUCGGAUAUUUUUGAGCUUAAUGUAUAAAAUAUAGAGCUCGUCGAGAGGAACAUUUUAUACACAGUAUGUAUGCAGCAAACUCUUAUCGUUUUCCUAAUAUGUAAGCUUGAAAUUGCAGCGUAAAUUUUUUUUGAACUCAGUGACCUUUGACCUUGGGUGCAAAUAAAAGGUCACAUGAAUUAAAGAUUAUUGGUGAAAAUCUCAAGUCUCUACGACUUCCGGUUCUCGAAAUAGAAUUUUUCAAAAAUUGUGUAAAAUUUUUCAAGGGAAAUAACUCCUUAUAAGGAUUGAUAACAUACUUGUUACUGUAGAUGCUGCCAUUUUCAAUUCGAUUCUAUCUCUUAUACUUUUUAAGAAAAAUGCAAAUAAAAGAAAUUGCUUCAAGGGGAUGCAACUCUCAGAGGGGAUAAUGAAAUCUUACGUGCCCUCAUAUGGUAAUACAUCAUGAUGAGAUCUACCUAUUGUCCACAUAAAAUCAUGAUAUCUUAAAAAACAACGAGGGGGGGGGGGGGCAUGUUGAAAAAACCCAAUAAAAGGGAGAUAACUUCUACAGGGGAUGAUGAAAUCCUACGUGCCCUCAUCUGGUAAUACUUCAUGAUGAGUUCUAUCGAUGGUCCAUAUUUGUUCUUGAUAACUCCAAUAGAAACGAGGGGAGGCCAUGUCAAAAAAAUGCUGGAAGAAAAAAAAAAAAAAAAAAAACCAUUAGAAAAACAAUAAGGUCUUUCCUAACGGAGUGGAAAGACCUUAAAAA
Mytilus californianus (California mussel) is the source of this 1481-nucleotide long non-coding RNA. RefSeq lists it as uncharacterized. The record is from RefSeq and is a predicted model, not a curated record. Lineage: Eukaryota; Metazoa; Mollusca; Bivalvia; Mytilida; Mytilidae. The transcript is spliced from 2 exons.